GGGGACGUCAGGCUAUCGACAGAAGCUUGAUUCUAGUUAUCACAAACCGUUUGUUAAGUUCGUUAUUCUUAACACACAUUAUAAGUGUAAAAAAUAAAAUCGUCGCUUUUGCAGAGCAGUUAAAAGCAGCUGUUUCAGCUCCACUUUAUAACUAUAACUUUGCAUAAGUUUAACUGAUUAAUUUCGGUUAAUGUCUUUUAUCCUUUUCCCUAAUGAGGGAUGUAAGACAGUCGUUAUUAGGGUAUGGUCUUCUAUCAGGUCAGUAGGGUAGUAGAUUGAAAAAUAUAACUGAGGAGAUGUACUUUUUGUCUAAUCUUUUAGGUAUGUCUUACUAAACAAGAGUAGAUAUGUUUGUAUAUGGUGCUAGAUGACACUUUUGGACAUGGGUUCAAUUCCCAUCGUCUCCACAU
RNAcentral lists this transfer-messenger RNA (410 nucleotides) under Candidatus Dojkabacteria. Its description in RNAcentral is "UBA5232 sp012513575 Standard tmRNA". It matches the Rfam family "transfer-messenger RNA". From Rfam's summary of the family: Bacterial tmRNA, also known as 10Sa RNA or SsrA, is named for its dual tRNA and mRNA-like properties. The record is from RNAcentral. RNAcentral also lists the same sequence under 1 other name.